Molecule: non-coding RNA, 8143 nt
Organism: Podarcis lilfordi (Lilford's wall lizard)
Lineage: Eukaryota; Metazoa; Chordata; Lepidosauria; Squamata; Lacertidae
Source: the annotation of a GenBank genome assembly
CUUCAUUCUUUGCUGUGCCAUCUCCAGGCUUGUGCAGCCGAUGAACCUAGAUCAGGCCCAUUGCCAGUACCUGGACAGGCUUAGGAGCCAGCAGAUCCUUGGCUGGACCAGGUCCGCCCCCUCUCCACUUCCAUGAUUUUGGAGGUUUACACUGGUGACCUGAUGGCAGCGCUCUACCUUCACACCUCUUCCUCUGUGGAAAUUGGACCCCAAUUUCUUUUCUUGUCUAUACAAUCAGGGCAGUUGCACAUUUAACUUUGAGGAAUGACCGGGCAGCUGCUCUGCUCAGAUGCUCAAGAUCAUUCCACAGUGCCUCCAUAUGAUGAGAUGCUUUGAAAAUGGGAGAUAAUGGGCUUCGGAUGGAAAUGGAUGGGUACUUCCAACCAGGUAGACUUUGACUCAUUUGUCUGAAAGUCCGUGUUAAUUAUGCAUGCAUGGGAUGUGUCUUCCUGGGCUGAGAUGCAUUUGUAAGGCAGCCAGCAGUGAUGGAUGAAAUGCAAGAACAAGAUCUAAACAACCCCAUUAGAUUGCUUCUAUCAGAUCGUUUCUGCUCUGGGGUGUUUGGAAUGUGGGCUCUGGCUCAAAACUUCUGCUAGCAGUCCAAGCAUAUGCAGCUCAUAGAUAACUUUUAGGAAAUAUUGUUAUAUACCAACAGGUAAUAAAGAAGGGAGAAAGGAACAUCUUGAGUCAAUCAGACAUAGCUGCCCCCCCAUAUCCAACAUGUGCCAGCAUCUUCAUGUGUGUGCAGUCUAAAAAUAUGCAACUGUAUGUUCAUAGUUUUUCCUCUCUGCUAGUGGGGAGAAAGCACUAAUUGUUUACAGUCAUAGACUCAUAGAAUUGUAGAUUUGGAAGGGGCUACAAGGGUUAUCGAGUCCAACCCCCUGCAAUGCAGGAAUGUUUUUGCCCAAUGUGGGGCUCAAACCCAUCACCCUGAGAUUAAGAGUCUCAUGCUCUACCGACUGAGCUAUAUAGGCUCUAUCUCAGGACAGGGGAACCUUUGGGCCUCCAAAUGCUAUUGGACUUCAGCUCCAUUCAUCCCUGACCAUUGGCCAUACUGGCUGAGGCUACUGCUGUGCUGAAAUCUAUCCUAUCAUUUUCUCAAAAGGUUCCCUCUACUCCAGGAAAAGGGCUUCCAUUAUCCUGCCUCAUUCUCAGGACAAUUGAGGAUUUCUUUAAAUUUCCAAUGGAUUCAGGCUUUCACUUACUUUAUCAUUCACAAGGAAAAAGCUGGUGGUGUUUUUUUUCCUUUCCAGCAAACAUUUCCCCAGUCUCACUGAAGCUCCACAGAUUGUUGGAAGUGCCACAGCAGAGAUCAUUCAGUCUGCAACUUAAGGGUUAUUUUUGUUAAUGUUAAAAACUAGCCCAUAGGGGCAGAAGUGCUGCUGAGCAACCAAGCAGAGUGGAAUGACUUUCACUGAGGCACCAUAUUAUAAAUACACAACCAACCAGCCAACCAACCAAUAAAAUAAUAAGCAAAUUUGAAGAACCCUCUUACAGUAUGUAGAGAGAUUUAGUAAUUUGUUUAAUGACAGAAUUUUAGAUGAUUUUAGUCACUUUUAAAUAAGGAGCGUGGGGUGUUUUUUUAAAAUGCUACAUUGUAGUGUUCUGUUGCUUCCUUGUAAAACAAAAUGAAUAAAGUUAAGAAAUCUGACAAGUAUAACCCAAUCCAAAUAAAGCAUGGCUAGCUAAUGGGUCAUAUUUGUCCACAAAAUGAUUUGUCCUGCUCCCUGGGAGGUGUUUCAUAGCACCAUUUUCAUUCCAUGAUUAUAAGCUGUUUCCUCCUCCAUCAACAAGGGUGGCCAAUAUGGUGCCCUUCGUUGUUGAACUCUUACUGCCAUCAGCCCCAGCCAGCAUGGCAAAUGCUCAGGGAUUAUGGGAGUUGCACCCCAACAACAUAUGGAUGGUCACAUGUUGGCAACCAUUGUUCUGCAGCAAUAACCUCUUUCGUGAGUCCUUAAUGGAAUGAUUCCAACCUUCUAGGGUACCACUCCUGCCAUCUCUUUCUGGGAGCAUGAAUGAAGAAGCCAUAAGAAGCUGGAUACUAAAUUACGUUUUCUUCCAGGCUUGGGAAGUCAGCUCUCUCAGAGCCAAGCCAUUCAUAAAAACAGUCAACAUCAAUGGACCUGCCAGAAGAUAGUUAAGAGGGGAUGCUAUGAAAAAUGGUUGUUCAACUGGACAGGUCUGAUGGACGAUUAGGGCAAAAAAGAGGAAAUACAUGAUAUAAAAGAGGGCAAAAAUGGACACAGUUUUGCAUGCCUUCUACAUGUGCCAAUUUAUAUAGAUGGGUGCAAUUUCUGAAAUAAUUCCUGUAAUUUAAAUAGGAAUAAAAUGGCGUAGACCGGAAGACUGACCUGGUGAUCUGAGUGCCUCCUCAUUCUGCUGUUCAUGGGCAUCUUCUGGUCUCCCUUAACCUAUCUUUAAACUGAACCUGGGCUAGGAAGCCUUUUACGCAGGACACCAUCCUCAAACAGUCCUCAAAAUAGAUGAUGGCCUCUGUAAAGUAGAACACAUGACGGCCCUCCUACUGGGAAUGUCAGGGUACACCAUGUCAUUCAGAUCAUUCCUUUAGAAAAACCAUUAGCCUCUGCUAAGCAAAUCCCUUUUGAACCCCAUUUUACUUUAAAGUUGCCAGUCUGAUUAACCAUGGUCUUUGACAGUUGCUUGGAUGUUAUACCUUGGAAUCCGUUUCCCCCGCACUUGUCACAAACAUUUCAGUUAACAUUUCUCAAGGAAGUGGUCUGGAUUUAUCAUAGUAGGCAGACAUUCCUAAUUUGUUUUUCAGUGGGAUGUCGGCAGCUAAUUCCUGUCUGAUGUAUUACCUGGCUAUCUGAACAAGGAAAAGGAAAUGGGUAAGAUUUGCACAUUUUCUGUUCCUCUUAAUUGCACUGUGAAAGCAAUCUAUCCAUAUAUAUUUACCACCAAUUAUUCAAGAACAUUAAUGUGAUUUACAGCCAACUAAAAUACAAGUUUAUUAAAAUCAGUAUGUUAAAAAACUAUAAUAAAUGCAUAUUAAUAAAAACAACCAUGACUCUUAGCAUCCUGAAAAAACUACAGUUCCCAGGAUUCUUUGGGAGAAGCCAUGACCUUUUAAAGUGUUAUGAUGCUCCUUUAAAUGUAUAGUGAAAAUGGGUACUUAUUAUUUUAUGCCGGAGGACCUUUGGCUGUCCAGAUAUCACUGAAGUAUAAUUCUCAUCAGCCCUAGCAACUAUAGCCAACGACUGAGGCAAAAUAGUAGUUUGAUUUCUGGUCCAAGAGCACCUGGAGGGCCAAAGCUUCCCCACUCUUGCUUUAACACAAAAGAGAUGGCAACGUGUUAUCAGACAGCAAAGCUUCUAUUGGCAAGGAGUUCCACAGGGCAGAGCAUGCCACACUGAAAGCUUGGCCCUAGUAAAGGCCAGCUGAACUACAGAGUCAAGUGAGACUACCAAAAGUGCCCCACCAGAAGACCUUAGCAAUCAAGGCAGGACAUAAGGAAUCAAGCAGUCCUUAAGGAACCAAGUUGUUUAACACAAGAGUAAAUUAGUAGCCAGUGCUAAGUGCUUCUAGAUGCCCCUUCUGCAUGCCACCUCCAAACAUUUCAGUAUCAAUGUGUGUGGUAUUCAACUGUAGUCCUACUCAGAGGAGACUAAGUGAAGCUAAUGCACAUUACAGUCAUACCUCGGGUUACAGACACUUCGGGUUGCGUUUUUUCGGGUUACAAACCUGCCGAAACCCGGAAGUACCGGAACGGGUUACUUCCAGGUUUCGGCAGUUGCGCAUGUGCAGAAGCGCUAAAUCAUGCUUUGUGCAUGCGCAGAAGUACCGAAUCGCAACCCGUGUGUGUGCAGAUGCGCCGCUGCGGGUUGCGAACAUGCAUCCCGCACGGAUGACGUUCGCAACCCGAGUGUCCACUGUAUUAGAUUAGGUUCACUGAUUGCAGUGGGUCUCCUCUGAGUAGAACUUGAAUAAAACCUACUUGGCUUAUACUGGGGGAAAACUGUAUGUGUUUCAAUGAAGACAACAACCUUCUACGGCAAAGUGCUGCAGCAAUGAGGGGCUUGUCCCCAGGCCUUGCACAAUGUCCUUUUGUGCUCUUUCCCAGAAUAAAUCUAACUACUUUUUGUGUUAAACUCAGUGCUUUUCUUCUAGAAAAAAAAGGUGCUGGUACUGCAUACCCGUGAGUACCCCCGGGGGGGAAAGCACUAGUUAAACUGUAUGUUCUAAGUGUGUGUGUGUGUGUGUUUUAUAAAAGAAAGAGAAUUGUUUCCUUUAACAGCAACAGAAAGCCUCCUCUCCGUCUGAUAUUAACGUUUGAUGGCGGCUUAAGAUCACACAAUAAAAGUCAGGGUGGGCUCCAUCAGAAAAAGUUGCGUUUCUCAGAACAUUUGCUAUUGAUAUGUUGGGAAAGUGGCAGACUUGGUGGGGUGGGGCGGGGUGGGGGCUGCUGGGGAGAGCUUGCAUGAUCCAUUAAUAAGAAACAGUUUGGCACACUAGAUUACUAAAGCAUGGCUAAUCUCUCAGCCAAAACCCACGCAUUCUUCAUUUGUGUUUCCCAGCCUUUUUUGAGCUUGUGUGUGUGUGUGUGUGUGUGUGUGUGUGUGUGUACACACACACAUACAAUACAGAGGAACUGGCUAAUUAAAUCUUGGAAAGUAAAUUCAGGUUUCUUUAGGCAUUUCUGAAAGGGAAUUAAAAACACAGUGGAUUGGAUUCAUAGAGGAUGUGCUUUCAAACAGCAGCGCAGAAAGAGGAAGACAAUUGCUGUCUUUGUUACAAGAGUGCAUGUUUGUAGAAAAGUGAGGAGGUGUUCUGAAAUAUGAUGAAUAUAUGGAUAUAUACUCUGGAAACAAUCGAGGACAUUUUUGUGUUUCAACAAGCUUUUCCAGCUGGAUGAAAAGGUCUCUGCCUUAGAUGUUCAUUUUGUAUUGUUUUAAAACCUGUCUUCAGAUAUAUAUAUAUAGAGAGAGAGAGAGAGAGAGAGAGAGAGAGAGAGGGAGAGAGGGGAGAGAGAGAGAGUUAUAGAUGGGGGAACCUCCAUAAAUCCUAGAAAUUAGUAAAUGGUAGGAUUUUGAUUAUUUGGAGUAUUGAAGGGAAGAUUGGAGGCCAGUGGAAAAAUACAAGCUGAGCUUCUUUCCAAGCAAGUGCCCCACCUGGGAUAAAGGCAGUGCUAUUUUUAUAGAAAAAGUGGUGCUGGAACUUACCACCCUCAUUCUCUUAGAAUUGCAAUAGCACCCACCUGAGAGGUGCCAGAACUGAGUUCUGGCAAGUUCUGGCUUUUUAAAAGUCCUGGAUAGAGACAUUAACAUGACAAAAGGUGUUGACGCCCCAUCUAAGAGGAAUCUUGGGCCUGGGCAGACAGAAGUUGCCAUGGUGAUGGGGCAUGUGGGAAAAGAGAGUCUUUAGAGCAAGGUGUGUUCGGAAGGAAAGGAAAGGGGGAGAACAGAAGGAAGGGAUCCAUCUUGGGCAGACCGGCUGAAGGCUGGCUGGGAGAGAUGCCUUGCAUUCCAGUGCAGAACGGCUGUGGAGAACAAGUCCCUCUCGAAAUGACCAUGCUGUAAGAUCUGGACUCCCUCCAUGCAGACUGAAGGUACAAAUAUGUGAAUAAAUCCUAUUUCUUAAAGUUAUGACAGCCUUCACACCACACCUUCAAUUCUCCAAAGGUGCACAAACUCUAGGUAUUCACCUGGAACCCCGUGAAACCUUGCUAUCGCUUGGCAGAGAGUGGCGUGGCACCCAACUUCUAUAUUUGUAAAUCGUUUUGAUGCAUGUAUACAAGGUGAUCCAUAAAUGUAUAGUUAUUGCUUAUAAUAUUGAUGAUAAUAAUUUGCUGAGUUGCUGCUCACACUCCUUUCUUUGUUCACUGACCUCAGUUUCUUUCAUAUCAGAAGAGGUGUUUGUUGGCAGUUGGAACUGAAGCUAUCAGAACCAACCAUCAUAAUGAAUCAGCAUUUUCCAGGGAUGACAGGCAAAAACUGACCAAAUCUCUGGGUUUGGGCUGGAGACCAUUUUUUUAUGACAGUUCUCCUGCCUAGAAUUUGUGUUUUCAACAUACUGUGGUGUUGGGUGGAAACAGAGAGCUAAUAAGCAUUUGCUUUGCUUGGUUUAGGGGCAAUUGCCAUAGUGUAGAGGGAAAUUGGUGGGUUGGCGGAGCAGAAAGCAUAUUUCCUCAUUUGUAUUUCAUAAUGUUGGCAUAUAUCAAGGUAUGAUACCUUACUUACAGGCUUCCCUUCCCCCGGUCUUCCACUGAAAUGAAUUACUGGAUGUCUUUAUUUGCCAUAAGAAGUUAGACUUCCAUGAAACAACUUUAACAUGAUUUACAGAAGCAUAGCUAUGUUAGUCUAUUAUAGCAAAAACAAUAGAGUCCUUUGGCAUCUUAAAGACUAACAUAUUCAUUGAGGCAUAAGAGUUUGUGGACUAAAGCCCACUUGGUUGAAUCGGAGGCCAUGGGACUCUUGGUUGUUGUUUUCUCUUUUAAAAGUUGACAUUGAAAACUUCUCUUGUUCUUUUUGGGGCUUCUGGGUUUUAGAGAUGUAAGUGUUCAACUUAAGCCUUCCAUCCUGGGGCCUUGCAAAGGUUUUGGACUCCAGAUCCCAUCACCACCAGCCAUCACGGUCAAUGGUCAGGGAUCAUGGGAGUUGUAGUUCAAAACAUCUGGACAGUAUCUACCAGGUUGGGGAACGUUGGUUUAACUGGUUGGGAAGCAUUGUGAAAAUCACAUCAGGUGUAUAUUGCAAGGGUAUUGCUUUGCAGUUUCUUUGCUGUUAGCCUUUGCAUUUCCCAAAAUCCAUAAUGGUUUGUUUGGUGCCUGCGGCAGAAGUCAAGCUUACCGAUAUGAAGUUGCAGAGUAUCAAGUGAAUAUUCUCUGCCAAGUGCAAGCUCAGUUAUCCAAGGUAGCAGGGUUUUAUUAUUUAUUUAUCUAUUGCAUUCACAUUCCACCCCACCCCCAAGUUGCUCAAGGUAGCAUAUGUAGUUGUCUCCCACCAUUUUUAUCCUCACAACAACCUACACAGGGAUCCUAAAGAAAGAAGAUGGAUGUGUGGGAGGAAUAGUACCAUCGGAGCAAAGAAUGUGGGAAAAUAAAGGGAAGGCAGCUUGUGCAAGCCUCGGAUACCACUCAUAAUAUUUAAUAUUUCAUUUUGGUGACGAGUUUAGUUAACUCCUCUUAAAUUAUCAUGGUGAUUAGCACAGACAUGGAAAUGAUCAGGCAUAAGUUCUGUAAAUAUAACAGAAAAAUAGGAUAUAAACAUACUGGUAUCCUAUGCAGAAACAACUUGUCUUCCUUUUCUUCAGUGUUUGAGUGGUCUACUAGUCUCGUUGACUCUCUGGCAAGUUUCCUGCAUUCAGCUUUCUUUUAUUUAAGAAGAAAAAACCGUAUUGUUCAUUUUUAUGUCUUUUUUUAGCUGGUUACACCAAAAAAAUCCCUCUUGACCAGCUUUUUUAUAGGUUUUCCUCCACCCCUUCAUUUAACUUGCCAGAGUUUAUGUUCCCUUCUGUUUUCUUCAUUUGGACUUGACUUCCAGGAUAUAUAUAUAUAUAUAUAUAUAUAUAAUUUGCUCUAAAACUUCUAGUAACACUUCAAUUUGCUCCUAAACCACAUCUUUCUAGACUGAUGUAAAUUGGUCUCUUUCUCCCAGCUCAUAUGGGUCAUUUCCCCAAACAGGCAAUUCAGACAGCCUUCCCCAAUGUCUCGUUCAUUUUAUUCUUUCAGAGGACUGUGAAGAGCAAUGAGCAAGAAAACAUGGAAAGAUGUACUAGAAGAAAGCAUGCAGAAAUGCGGAAAAGGCAAAGAAAGUGUAAAGGGAGAACACAAGAGAGAUAUUGCAAUAAUAUUGUCCUCUCAGGACCCAAAUCACUGCUUGCCUCUUUAGGCCUCAUGCCUAGAUCUUUAAUGUUCAUUACUCUCAGGUUGUUGGCUGAAUGAUGUUAGGAGACCUGACCCAUCUUCUUGCUUGGCCGGGUUAUGCCAUGAUACAGGUCUCAUUCACACACAGCCCCAACAUGUUUCCCAACAUGUGGUAGGCACUGAAGAAAACCUUCAGCUCAUCUAUAUUUCUGCUGUCACCCUGCACCUUUAAUAUGAAUUUGAGUCCAUAUUUAAUAUGUGUGAAGGUUCUGCUAAUGCAAUCCACCUACUCUGUAGGUUGGGUGGUAUCUGAAGAAGAGC